CAAUAGCGUAUAUUAAAGUUGUUGCAGUUAAAAAGCUCGUAGUUGGAUUUCUGGUAGGAGCGACCGUGCCGAACUUGAUUGUUCGAGUAUUGUGUUGUCUUCAGCCAUCCUCGUGGAGAACUUUUCUAACAUUAACUUGUUGGGAUUGGGACCCGCGUCGUUUACUGUGAAAAAUUAGAGUGUUUAAAGCAGGCAUUAGCUUGAAUACAUUAGCAUGGAAUAAUAAGAUAGGACUUUGGUACUAUUUUGUUGGUUUGCAUACCAAAUUAAUGAUCAACAGGAACAGUUUGAGGAUAUUCGUAUGAACAUGUCAGAGGUGAAAUUCUUGGAUUUUGAUCAGACGAACUACUGCGAAAGCAUUUAUCAAGGAUGUUUUCAUUAA
This 382-nucleotide ribosomal RNA is filed under the name uncultured eukaryote. RNAcentral describes it as "partial 18S ribosomal RNA". It matches the Rfam family "Eukaryotic small subunit ribosomal RNA", at positions 592 to 976 of the family's 1831-position model. The record is from RNAcentral.